AGUGAACGCUGGCGGUAGGCCUAACACAUGCAAGUCGAACGGCAGCACAGUAAGAGCUUGCUCUUACGGGUGGCGAGUGGCGGACGGGUGAGGAAUACAUCGGAAUCUACUUUUCGUGGGGGGUAAAGUAGGGAAACUUACGCUAAUACCGCAUACGACCUUCGGGUGAAAGCCGGGGAUCUUCGGACCUUUCGCGGUUUAAUGAGGCGAUGUCGGAUUAGCUAGUUGGCGGGGUAAAGGCCCACCAAGGCGACGAUCCGUAGCUGGUCUGAGAGGAUGAUCAGCCACACUGGAACUGAGACACGGUCCAGACUCCUACGGGAGGCAGCAGUGGGGAAUAUUGGACAAUGGGCGCAAGCCUGAUCCAGCCAUACCGCGUGGGUGAAGAAGGCCUUCGGGUUGUAAAGCCCUUUUGUUGGGAAAGAAAAGCAGCAGGUUAAUACCCCGCUGUUCUGACGGUACCCAAAGAAUAAGCACCGGCUAACUUCGUG
This 491-nucleotide ribosomal RNA is filed under the name uncultured bacterium. RNAcentral's name for it is "partial 16S ribosomal RNA". It matches the Rfam family "Bacterial small subunit ribosomal RNA", at positions 29 to 507 of the family's 1533-position model. The record is from RNAcentral.